This 253-nucleotide ribosomal RNA is filed under the name uncultured bacterium. Its description in RNAcentral is "partial 16S ribosomal RNA". It matches the Rfam family "Bacterial small subunit ribosomal RNA", at positions 524 to 776 of the family's 1533-position model. The record is from RNAcentral.
UACGUAGGGUGCAGGCGUUAAUCGGAAUUACUGGGCGUAAAGCGUGCGCAGGCGGUUUGCUAAGACAGGUGUGAAAUCCCCGGGCUUAACCUGGGAACUGCGCUUGUAACUGGCAGGCUUGAGUGCGGCAGAGGGGGGUGGAAUUCCACGUGUAGCAGUGAAAUGCGUAGAAAUGUGGAGGAACACCGAUGGCGAAGGCAGCCCCCUGGGUCGACACUGACGCUCAUGCACGAAAGCGUGGGGAGCAAACAGG